GAUGAACGCUGGCGGCGUGCCUAAUACAUGCAAGUCGAGCGAACGGACGAGAAGCUUGCUUCUCUGAUGUUAGCGGCGGACGGGUGAGUAACACGUGGAUAACCUACCUAUAAGACUGGGAUAACUUCGGGAAACCGGAGCUAAUACCGGAUGAUAUUUUGAACCGCAUGGUUCAAAAGUGAAAGACGGUCUUGCUGUCACUUAUAGAUGGAUCCGCGCUGCAUUAGCUAGUUGGUAAGGUAACGGCUUACCAAGGCAACGAUGCAUAGCCGACCUGAGAGGGUGAUCGGCCACACUGGAACUGAGACACGGUCAAGACUCCUACGGGAGGCAGCAGUAGGGAACCUUCCGCAAUGGGCGAAAGCCUGACGGAGCAACGCCGCGUGAGUGAUGAAGGUCUUCGGAUCGUAAAACUCUGUUAUUAGGGAAGAACAUAUGUGUAAGUAACUGUGCACAUCUUGACGGUACCUAAUCAGAAAGCCACGGCUAACUACGUG
This 497-nucleotide ribosomal RNA is filed under the name uncultured bacterium. RNAcentral describes it as "partial 16S ribosomal RNA". It matches the Rfam family "Bacterial small subunit ribosomal RNA", at positions 28 to 507 of the family's 1533-position model. The record is from RNAcentral.